RNAcentral lists this transfer RNA (64 nucleotides) under Pyrocoelia praetexta. Its description in RNAcentral is "tRNA-Trp". Lineage: Eukaryota; Metazoa; Arthropoda; Insecta; Coleoptera; Lampyridae. RNAcentral also lists the same sequence under 1 other name. The record is from RNAcentral.
AAGGAUUUAAGUUAAAAAUAAACUAGUAACCUUCAAAGUUGCCAAUAAAGGAUAUUAAGCCUUA